Molecule: transfer RNA, 73 nt
Filed under: Motilibacter rhizosphaerae
Lineage: Bacteria; Bacillati; Actinomycetota; Actinomycetes; Motilibacterales; Motilibacteraceae
Description: Actinomycetales bacterium RS-16 tRNA
Rfam family: tRNA
About the family: Transfer RNA (tRNA) molecules are approximately 80 nucleotides in length. Their secondary structure includes four short double-helical elements and three loops (D, anti-codon, and T loops).
Source: Rfam by way of RNAcentral
GCCCUCGUAGCUCAGCGGAUAGAGCUGCGGACUUCUAAUCCGUAGGUCGCAGGUUCGAGUCCUGCCGGGGGCG